AUACGGAGGGUGCGAGCGUUAAUCGGAAUUACUGGGCGUAAAGGGUGCGUAGGCGGCUUGAUAAGUCGGAUGUGAAAGCCCCGGGCUUAACCUGGGAAUUGCAUUCGAUACUGUCAGGCUAGAGUAUGUCAGAGGUUGGCGGAAUUCCUGGUGUAGCGGUGAAAUGCGUAGAUAUCAGGAGGAACACCAGUGGCGAAGGCGGCUAACUGGGACAAUACUGACGCUGAGGCAUGAAAGCGUGGGGAGCAAACAGGAUUAGAAACCCUAGUAGUCC
This 274-nucleotide ribosomal RNA is filed under the name uncultured bacterium. RNAcentral's name for it is "partial 16S ribosomal RNA". It matches the Rfam family "Bacterial small subunit ribosomal RNA", at positions 523 to 796 of the family's 1533-position model. The record is from RNAcentral.